Molecule: ribosomal RNA, 433 nt
Filed under: uncultured bacterium
Lineage: Bacteria
Description: partial 16S ribosomal RNA
Rfam family: Bacterial small subunit ribosomal RNA
Source: RNAcentral
AACGAACGCUGGCGGCAUGCCUAACACAUGCAAGUCGAACGAGACCUUCGGGUCUAGUGGCGCACGGGUGCGUAACGCGUGGGAACCUGCCCUUAGGUUCGGAAUAACUCCCCGAAAGGGGUGCUAAUACCGGAUAAUGUCUUCGGACCAAAGAUUUAUCGCCUUUGGAUGGGCCCGCGUUGGAUUAGCUAGUCGGUAGGGUAAAAGCCUACCAAGGCGACGAUCCAUAGCUGGUCUGAGAGGAUGAUCAGCCACACUGGGACUGAGACACGGCCCAGACUCUUACGGGAGGCAGCAGUGGGGAAUAUUGGACAAUGGGCGAAAGCCUGAUCCAGCAAUGCCGCGUGAGUGAUGAAGGCCUUAGGGUUGUAAAGCUCUUUUACCCGGGAUGAUAAUGACAGUACCGGGAGAAUAAGCUCCGGCUAACUCCGUG